RNAcentral lists this ribosomal RNA (446 nucleotides) under uncultured bacterium. RNAcentral describes it as "bacterial SSU rRNA". It matches the Rfam family "Bacterial small subunit ribosomal RNA", at positions 330 to 793 of the family's 1533-position model. The record is from RNAcentral.
ACCAGACUCCUACGGGAGGCAGCAGUGGGGAAUAUUGCACAAUGGGGGAAACCCUGAUGCAGCGACGCCGCGUGAGUGAAGAAGUAAUUCGUUAUGUAAAGCUCUAUCAGCAGGGAAGAAAAUGACGGUACCUGAGUAAGAAGCCCCGGCUAACUACGUGCCAGCAGCCGCGGUAAUACGUAGGGGGCAAGCGUUAUCCGGAUUUACUGGGUGUAAAGGGAGCGUAGACGGCAGCGCAAGUCUGGAGUGAAAUGCCGGGGCCCAACCCCGGAACUGCUUUGGAAACUGGCCGGCUGGAGUGCUGGAGAGGCAGGCGGAAUUCCUGGUGUAGCGGUGAAAUGCGUAGAUAUCAGGAGGAACACCGGUGGCGAAGGCGGCCUGCUGGACAGUAACUGACGUUGAGGCUCGAAAGCGUGGGGAGCAAACAGGAUUAGAUACCCCAGUAA